AGAAUCAACGCUGGCGGCGUGCCUAACACAUGCAAGUCGAACGAGAAAGUGGAGCAAUCCAUGAGUAAAGUGGCGCACGGGUGAGUAACACGUGACUAACCUACCCUUGAGUGGGGGAUAACCUAGGGAAACCUGGGCUAAUACCGCAUAAUACCUUCGGGUCAAAGGAGCAAUUCGCUUAAGGAGGGGGUCGCGGCCGAUUAGUUAGUUGGCGGGGUAAUGGCCCACCAAGACUGUGAUCGGUAUCCGGCCUGAGAGGGCGCACGGACACACUGGAACUGAAACACGGUCCAGACUCCUACGGGAGGCAGCAGUGGGGAAUUUGCGCAAUGGGGGAAACCCUGACGCAGCAACGCCGCGUGGAGGAUGAAGUCCCUUGGGACGUAAACUCCUUUCGAUCGGACGAUUAUGACGGUACCGGAAGAGAAGCCCCGGCUAACUUCGUGCCAGCAGCCGC
RNAcentral lists this ribosomal RNA (457 nucleotides) under uncultured bacterium. RNAcentral describes it as "SSU rRNA". It matches the Rfam family "Bacterial small subunit ribosomal RNA", at positions 26 to 518 of the family's 1533-position model. The record is from RNAcentral.